AAGCUGCAUCCAUGGCAAUGGAAUUGGUUUCUAGAGGGAUCAACUGCCAAUGUGAUUUUGAUCCUUGAUUCAGACUAACCUCAAAAUGAAUGAUCCUGCUUCAAAACCUCUUCUGAUUGAGACAAUGAAGGCACUAUAGAUGGGGAUAUCUGGAAUUAAUACCUCUAUCUGUUACCAGAAGAAUUGAUCACCCUACUAAUCCAUGAAAAUAUCCCAGUAAUAGAGUGUGGGUGGAUAGUCUGAUGAUACCUUCUUUCUUAGACUUGCCAAUCCUCAACAAGAUGGCUCCAGAAAAAUGAUCUCCAUAAGUUCAGAGGGACUGAGAGAUUUCACUCUGUUGGUGUUUAUGGAUGGAUGGAUGAAAAUAGAGAUGUUGCUGCACUUGGUACAGGAUUAUUCCAUCCUCUGAACUGUUGAAGGAGAGAGAACACACCUGACCUUCCUCUGGGUAACAUCCUUUCAGAAAACUGAGCAAUGCUUCAGUCUACUCUUCUCAAGGUCAGACAUGUCCAGUUGCUUAAGUCUGUCUCCUAGUCAUUUGAUUGUUCUUGUCAUCCUUCUUUGAAACUAUUCAAGUUCAUCUGAAUCCUUCUUAAAGUGGGCUGUCCAGAACUGCAGACAGUCCUCAGAGUGACAUCUGAUCAAAGUACAA
Crotalus tigris (Tiger rattlesnake) is the source of this 652-nucleotide long non-coding RNA. RefSeq lists it as uncharacterized. The record is from RefSeq and is a predicted model, not a curated record. Lineage: Eukaryota; Metazoa; Chordata; Lepidosauria; Squamata; Viperidae. The transcript is spliced from 3 exons.